RNAcentral lists this ribosomal RNA (656 nucleotides) under Meyerozyma guilliermondii. Its description in RNAcentral is "eukaryotic LSU rRNA". It matches the Rfam family "Eukaryotic large subunit ribosomal RNA", at positions 1 to 668 of the family's 3401-position model. The record is from RNAcentral. Lineage: Eukaryota; Fungi; Ascomycota; Pichiomycetes; Serinales; Debaryomycetaceae. RNAcentral also lists the same sequence under 1 other name.
AAGUUUGACCUCAAAUCAGGUAGGAAUACCCGCUGAACUUAAGCAUAUCAAUAAGCGGAGGAAAAGAAACCAACAGGGAUUGCCUUAGUAGCGGCGAGUGAAGCGGCAAAAGCUCAAAUUUGAAAUCUGGCGCCUUCGGUGUCCGAGUUGUAAUUUGAAGAUUGUAACCUUGGGGUUGGCUCUUGUCUAUGUUUCUUGGAACAGGACGUCACAGAGGGUGAGAAUCCCGUGCGAUGAGAUGCCCAAUUCUAUGUAAGGUGCUUUCGAAGAGUCGAGUUGUUUGGGAAUGCAGCUCUAAGUGGGUGGUAAAUUCCAUCUAAAGCUAAAUAUUGGCGAGAGACCGAUAGCGAACAAGUACAGUGAUGGAAAGAUGAAAAGAACUUUGAAAAGAGAGUGAAAAAGUACGUGAAAUUGUUGAAAGGGAAGGGUUUGAGAUCAGACUCGAUAUUUUGUGAGCCUUGCCUUCGUGGCGGGGUGACCCGCAGCUUAUCGGGCCAGCAUCGGUUUGGGCGGUAGGAUAAUGGCGUAGGAAUGUGACUUUACUUCGGUGAAGUGUUAUAGCCUGCGUUGAUGCUGCCUGCCUAGACCGAGGACUGCGAUUUUAUCAAGGAUGCUGGCAUAAUGAUCCCAAACCGCCCGUCUUGAAACACGGACCA